GACGAACGCUGGCGGCGUGCUUAACACAUGCAAGUCGAACGGUGAAGGGACCGGUUUUUGCUGGUUCUGGAUGAGUGGCGAACGGGUGAGUAACACGUGAGUAACCUGCCCCCUUCUUCUGGAUAACCGCAUGAAAGUGUGGCUAAUACGGGAUAUUCUGCGCCUGCUGCAUGGUGGGUGUGGGAAAGAUAUUGUUUCGGUGGGGGAUGGGCUCGCGGCCUAUCAGCUUGUUGGUGGGGUGAUGGCCUACCAAGGCGGUGACGGGUAGCCGGCCUGAGAGGGUGGACGGUCACACUGGGACUGAGACACGGCCCAGACUCCUACGGGAGGCAGCAGUGGGGAAUAUUGCACAAUGGGCGCAAGCCUGAUGCAGCGGCGCCGCGUGAGGGAUGGAGGCCUUCGGGUUGUAAACCUCUUUCGCCAGUGAAGCAGGCCUGUCCCUUUUGUGGGUGGGUUGACGGUAGCUGGAUAAGAAGCGCCGGCUAACUACGUG
RNAcentral lists this ribosomal RNA (493 nucleotides) under uncultured bacterium. Its description in RNAcentral is "partial 16S ribosomal RNA". It matches the Rfam family "Bacterial small subunit ribosomal RNA", at positions 28 to 507 of the family's 1533-position model. The record is from RNAcentral.